ACUUCGGUCCUGAGCGCUUGGGAGUUAGGUUGUUUGCCGGCGUAGCGGCCAGCGCCUGAGCCCGCCCUUGAUCUUCGCUGUGGCAUGGCGGACGAGGGGAAGUCGUACAGCGAACACGAUGAUGAACGCGUUAAUUUCCCUCAAAGAAAGAAGAAAGGGCUGUGUCAGGGUGUCUUUCUCCCUUUUCUCCCUCAUUUUUCUAGAUGCUUUUUUGCCUUGUAGUUCUUUCUCUUUUUCUUUGCUUUCUCUUUCCUUUUUCUGUCUGUCUCCUAUACCUCCCCAUCUCUCCCUUGCCCCUGCCCCAUCUUGCCUUUUUCUCUUUUUCCUCCUUUUCCUUUCUUAUUCCUUUGCCUCUCCUCUUCCUGAGCCCCACCUGCUCAUCUCCCUGCCCCAACAUCCUGUGCCAUCCCUGUGGUGUGUUUGGGUCUUGGCCAAAGCCAGACCUGGCAGAACUGAUGGAUACCUGGUGAGGCAGCGGAGCCCCUGGGCUCCCACCCCAUUCCCUCCUCCCGGGGCUGCACAGGUGAGUAGGUGGAAGGUAAGGGGGGCAGGGAGGGGAAAGAGGUCCU
RNAcentral lists this long non-coding RNA (569 nucleotides) under Homo sapiens (human). Its description in RNAcentral is "non-protein coding lnc-STX5-3:2". Lineage: Eukaryota; Metazoa; Chordata; Mammalia; Primates; Hominidae. The record is from RNAcentral.